CCACCCUCCAGACCUAGAAAACAGUCAAUCGACUGUCAUCAUCUACUUUUGUCUGAUACAAUGAUUUACUACACACUAACUUGUAUAAUGUGUGGUCCUUCCCUCGGCAUAACCUUCUCAAGUUCAUCUAUGGGAUCUCCAACUAUGAUGCAGCCAUCUAGUUCUGAUUGCCAUUUCCACCGGUGAAAACCGUCUUCCUGAUCCAUGUUUAUCCUCACGGCGCUCCCCUUCCCAGUGAUGCGAGUGAGUAUCUGAGGAUGGAACGGGAGCAUUGACAUCCAGGCCCACUGACCUAGUCCCGAAGAAGCCAGCACACAAGGAAAAGAGACAAGGAACUGAAGUUGUAAUUGAGACAAAAGCAGUCUGCUCAUCUGUGAUUCUCCCAGCAUCUGCUGAAGGUUUGCAAGAACUUAUGCCCAGUGGGUUCCUGGCAUCUGGCUCAGAGUUUGCACUCAGAAAUGUCUUCUGAAUUAAGAUGAACAGAAAUGCAUUCUUACUUCAGCCGCUAUGUCACUGGAUGACCGACCGUCUCGUGUUUGCUCAUAUAAAGAUUGGCCAGGCAGAGCUCUGUGUCUCCUUUGCUUUUGCAUGCCUGUCCUGGGGCUUCGAAUGGAGAGACCUCAUGCUUAAAGAAAGGGCUGUGGAGAAAUAGUUCUGGAAAUUUGACCCUUCAAACUUUAUUUUUUAUCUU
Molecule: long non-coding RNA, 691 nt
Organism: Myodes glareolus (Bank vole)
Lineage: Eukaryota; Metazoa; Chordata; Mammalia; Rodentia; Cricetidae
Source: RefSeq, a predicted model, not a curated record